RNAcentral lists this long non-coding RNA (584 nucleotides) under Carica papaya (papaya). RNAcentral describes it as "long non-coding RNA (CPAP_LNC000310)". The record is from RNAcentral. Lineage: Eukaryota; Viridiplantae; Streptophyta; Magnoliopsida; Brassicales; Caricaceae.
UUGAUUGGAUUCGGAUAACCUGUAAACUCAACAUGGUCUAAAAAAUAUUAGUUCCUAUUUAACAUUAAACAUUUAAUAUAAUUGUGCCCAUAUUACUAUUAAUAUAUAAUUUUAUUCAACAUACAAUUGUACAUUAAUACUUAUGAUCAUGCAAAUCACACCCUUUAUUUAAUUUGACAUCCUGAGAAAGUAAAAUAGAUACACCAAGCUUCACUACUACAUAUAUAUAUAUAUAUAUAAUAUAUAAUAGCCACAAUUAUUUCUUCUCCCCUUGUUGAAUUUAGAUUAUGGAGUUGGAUUCAUACCCUUAAUCAUCCAUGUCUUGGCAAAAUAAAAGGUUAACUUGGUCACCGACAUGCAAAUAAGUUGCUGAAUCAAUCUUGUUGCUAUCUCCAUGGACAAAGUUUUUUCUAAUCAAAGCACCAUCGUUUUGUAAAAGUAUGCUGUCAGUCGACUGCACACUCUUAUUUGUAGUUGUAACUUGACGAUAGGUUGAAAUUGUUUCGACUCGUGAUAACGAUUUGGUCCAGUGAGCAUUCUUCAAUUCUUCUAUCUCUUUCUCAAAUCUAUUUACCUCCUCUUCC